Nerophis lumbriciformis (worm pipefish) is the source of this 1448-nucleotide non-coding RNA. The record is from RefSeq and is a predicted model, not a curated record. NCBI's taxonomy places the organism in Eukaryota, Metazoa, Chordata, Actinopteri, Syngnathiformes, Syngnathidae.
GGACCAAGUCAGAGUACUCCAAACUCUGCGACCUCGUUAGUGACAAAUACAGCGACGGCCCUCCUCAACAAUCGGGCCAGCAGGAGCUCUUUCCUGAGAGCGGCGUAUUCAUGUCCUCGUUCCGCCUUGCUGCCAUGAGUCAUGCUUCAAAGCCCAAUUGCAUGCGUUUAUUCCACGCACUUUUUGACCACUUUUUUACAGUUGAGGAGUGUCAAAAUGCUGUCGCUUUUGGUCGCCCUGGAAACAAACCUGUAGGAACAGGAAAGCGCAUCCUUGACCGGAAAAAAGUUGAAGAAAUCCUAACGUAUGUCCUGAGAUGCGGUACCCUUCCUGAUUGGGACAAUAUUGAGGAGGCCAAGCUCAAGCAAGCUUUGGUAAACAAAUGUCGGGCAAGAGCAGGUUUUAAGUAGGCCCUUGUACCUGCCAAGUUCAUUCUGGGGUAGGAUGUUUCCUUUGUAAACAUGUUGAUAAUUUGGUCUGGGGUUGCGCAGUAUAUAUUGUAUAAAAAUGCCCUAUGAUGUAGCUUUUAGUACCACGUUAUACUGUGACAAUGCAUAUUGAGCUGUGCUGUGUCUCGCAAAUUUGGCACUGAUGCAACCUCACUAACAAGCUAGCGGCUAAUAUCCCUUCACAGUACAAAGCUGUUUCCAAAUAAAAAACGGAAAUGACGCAGUAUGUUAGUAGCUUUUGUAACCAAUUUCAAAAUGUUUUAAUGAUCAUUUAUGUACCAAAUGUUAUAUUGUUAUCACAGGAGGCUGUUCUAUUGUUUACAACAGUGGUUCUUAAUCAUAGGGCUGGGGCCCACUGUUUGGCUGCGAAUACCCCUUGAGGGCCGCCAAUAAAUAUCUGUUUCUUAGCUGUGGUCCGUCCAUAUGGGCCGCAAUGGUACUCAGUUGUAAUACACUUUAGUGUAAGAUGACUAAUUCAGUGUUUGUAUUUGAGUGGGUCCGAGACCCCUCUGUAGUGGAAAAGUUGGUCGGGCCCUGAGGUAAAAAAUGUUAAGUAUCCUUGGUGUUCAAUGUGUGAUUAUUUUUUAUAUGUAGACCAGUUCCAAACACCACGGUUACAAUUUUAUAAAUGUAUUUCAGUUUUUGCUUGGAAUAUUUCCAAAAUGGAAAUUUAGUCAUUUACUCACCCUCUUUCUGAGAUUAAGUCAGGUGUUUUUUUUAACUACAGUACAUGGUUUGCUCAACAAGGAGUUAAAAAAAACUACACCGGACUUUUUCACAACAACAAAGUGAGUACUUAAGGUUAAAUUCAUUUAGUUUUGUAUUUGUUUUAUUUUUUGUAUAUUGUUUUCUAUGUUGUUUUAAUUAUUGUGAAUGUCAAUAUGUACAUUAUGUAUGUACUAAUUAACUACAUUUAAAUUGUUGUAUUUAAUCUAUUUUUAUAUCUUAUAUUUUGUAUUUGUAUAUGUGUGUAGCCAAAUAAAGUGAUACACCGCUCAA